Molecule: non-coding RNA, 132 nt
Organism: Cathartes aura (turkey vulture)
Lineage: Eukaryota; Metazoa; Chordata; Aves; Accipitriformes; Cathartidae
Source: Rfam
UUCCUUCUGAAAAGCUCUUGCUGGGUCUGUGGUUGUGGCUCAGUGAGAUGUCGUGGAAGGAGACAGCAAAAGUAUCGCUUGUGGGUGAAGCGGCAGCCUGUGCUGCUCGCUUCAGUCGGUGAUUCGACAAGG